Molecule: non-coding RNA, 2489 nt
Organism: Monodelphis domestica (gray short-tailed opossum)
Lineage: Eukaryota; Metazoa; Chordata; Mammalia; Didelphimorphia; Didelphidae
Source: RefSeq, a predicted model, not a curated record
AGGUGUCCGAGGCCGGACGGCCCUCAGAGGCGGUCUCUAGGGAGGCCAGCGUCCGUAAUGACCUGAGCCGGGCAGGGAGAGAGGGCGAGGGAGCCAUGGAGGGAAGCGGAGAUCGGGGAGCCGGCCGGAGAGCGCCGCCUGAUUGACAGCCCGAAAUCUGAUCUGCUGAAAGAGCCUGAGAGCCAAUGGGAGGCAGGGAUCCAUCAGUUUGGCUCGGAGGCCCCUGGAGGAGAAGUGGAGGAAGGACCGCCGAAGCGAGCUCUGUCAGAGGCGCUCUCGGCUUCGGAGGGGGAGGUGCUGGGCGAGGAUUCAUGUUUGGAUUCUUUUGGGAGGGGAGUGGUGGCAGCCCCGCGCCUGGCACGGCCUUCAGGUCGGGAGCCGCUGCGAUCGGCCGGGCACCUCCUCCCCGAUGCCAGCACGGGCGCUAGGGUGCUGAACAGCUCCGCGUAGCCCGCGUAGACCGCGUAGCCAGAGCUGCCCGGCCCAGCCCGGCCCGGCCCAGCAGCAGUCGCCGCCGCCGCCGCCGCCGCCGCCGCAGCAGCAGCAGCAGCAGCAGCAGCAGCAGCAGUCCUCUCCGCCGCCGCCUCGGGAUGGACGGCUUCUAUGACCAGCAAGUGCCUUACUUGGUCAGCACCAGUCAGCGUGGGAGAAGCUGUAAUGAGAAACCAGCAAAUGUCAGGAAAAGAAAAUUCAUUAACAGAGACCUGGCUCAUGACUCAGAAGAACUCUUUCAAGAUCUGAGCCAAUUACAGGAAACAUGGCUUGCAGAAGCUCAGGUACCUGACAAUGAUGAGCAGUUUGUCCCAGACUAUCAGGCUGAAAGUUGUAAGUACAGUGUGACUCAUCUCUUGGAUGCUUCCAUUUCUUCCCUUUCUUUUUCUGCCCUCUCUCCCUCGCUUCUCUGCUUGGUUGCCCUUUUCCUCCUGUUGACUCAUGCCUUUUGCCAGGUCCUUCCUCGCCUCUAGUUGGAUGGGGAGCCAGGAUGAGGGCGCCCUGCUCUGACCAGCUGUGCAGGUGUGCCUUUGAGUCUCUGGGCAUCCUGCCUGCCCACCAGGCCCCCUCCUUUGCGAGGGUCAGAGGGUGUGUGUGUGCACAAUCCCAGGCAGGUUGGGAUGCCUCAGGAGGAGUUUCCCAGAGGGUGUAGCCGUGAUUCGGAGGAGACAGCAUUCUGCAUGUGAUAGGAAGAAGGCCUUUGGGGUCCUGGAAUGACCCCAAACCAUCAGUCUUCCCCUUCACGGGCCUUCCUGUGAAUAACUUGUGUAGGAGUUUGCCUGGAUUUCUUGCACUGAGUCCCCAAAUCCAGGACUCAGUAGCUGCUUGAAACCUUAUUUCAGACUUCCCGUUCUCUGUGGUGGAGUUGCCACCAGGCAGUAGAUGGCCCAGCCGGGCCAUCAGUUUUGUGCUCCUUUCCCUGAGGCUGGUUCCCAGGAGUAACUCGAAGAGUGGAAGGGAGCAGUGAUGCUUCAGAUGCUUCCUUGCCCAGUGGCUGGUUCCUUUUACUAAUGUGGCACCUGGUGGGGUCUCUUUCUUCUGUCCUAGAGCUCCUGACUUAGACGAAGGUAUUCUCUAAAAGCAGCAACCAGCAGAGUCGGCAGUGCCACUGCCUUAUUUGGGGAAGAGCUCCCAAGAGCCUUUUCUCUGUGUAGCGGAAAUGGUCUGUUGGGCCACUAGGAUAGACUAGACCAUGGUGGCCGUUUCGUGAGAGGAUGGGACAGUGGCACGCAGUUGUGCUCACUACUUUGCAGCUAUACAAAACCACACUCAGUCUUGGUAUGUGGCAAAGCCAAAAGCAUGAAAUAUUAGCAAGAAUGGUUCCUUCCCAUUUGUCAAAGAACCCAGCUCACCCGUAUUAGCAUGUGCCAUUGGAGUCAAGCUCCAGAGAGUCGUUGGCUUAUGGAAUCAAAUGAGAGGAUAUUCAUGAAGUGCUUCGUAAAACAUGAAGGGUGCCAACUGUUAUGACCUAUUAGUCAAGCACAAAGAGACCUUAGAAACCCCACAGUUUUACAGAUGAGUAAAUGGAGGCCCAGAGAGGGUAAGGUCCCACAAAAUGUACAUAGCAGAGCCAGCAUUUGAAUUCAGUUCUUAUGAGGAUAUGCAUUAAAAAUAAUUAACAAAAAAUAUUUAACAAAUUAAAAUACAGUGAAACAGAAAUGAAAGCAAGACAGUCCCUGCCCUCAGGGAGUUUGCUUCUAAUAGGCGAGCUGGCAUUUUCUUUGGGAAAGUUUCAGAGGUGGUUAAUGGAGCUACAGGGGAAUAGGAUGACAUGCCUUCAAGUAUCAUUGUUAAUGGUGAUUUGAUUAGUGAUUCAGAAAUGACAAGUUGGAAAGUGGGGGGUGAGGGUGAAGGGAGAAGCUGACUAUGAGCCCUGGCAUCACACUGCCCAGUGAUGGUUUGGGGAAGAGUUUGGAGAUCUGGUGUGCCUUAUAUGACCCCAGCCACUCAUGCUAAUGCUUUCUUGGGUACUUCAGAGAGAGAUGAGGGGAGAAGGA